Molecule: long non-coding RNA, 280 nt
Filed under: Ananas comosus (pineapple)
Lineage: Eukaryota; Viridiplantae; Streptophyta; Magnoliopsida; Poales; Bromeliaceae
Description: long non-coding RNA (ACOM_LNC009556)
Source: RNAcentral
ACAAUAAUCAAACUUAGAAUUAUCGAAUCUUAUUCCAUGAUUGGAUGUAUGAACAUCUUAUUCUGCAUAGUUUUUUAAUUAUUUUAAAAAUUACAAUAUUCGAUCUUUAAAUUAUUUUUUCAUCAUAUCAUAUUCAACCAAAUUAUGAAUGUUAAGAUCUUUUAAAGAGUAAAAAUUAAAACUUUAACUUCUAAUCAUGAAAGAAAAUUCUCAUAUCGCACAAAUUAUUACUGAACAACUUAUGCGUAGAUUCAAACAAGGAAUUAAUCUAAUUAACAUC